AAAAGUGAAAGACGGUCUUGCUGUCACUUAUAGAUGGAUCCGCGCUGCAUUAGCUAGUUGGUAAGGUAACGGCUUACCAAGGCAACGAUGCAUAGCCGACCUGAGAGGGUGAUCGGCCACACUGGAACUGAGACACGGUCCAGACUCCUACGGGAGGCAGCAGUAGGGAAUCUUCCGCAAUGGGCGAAAGCCUGACGGAGCAACGCCGCGUGAGUGAUGAAGGUCUUCGGAUCGUAAAACUCUGUUAUUAGGGAAGAACAUAUGUGUAAGUAACUGUGCACAUCUUGACGGUACCUAAUCAGAAAGCCACGGCUAACUACGUGCCAGCAGCCGCGGUAAUACGUAGGUGGCAAGCGUUAUCCGGAAUUAUUGGGCGUAAAGCGCGCGUAGGCGGUUUUUUAAGUCUGAUGUGAAAGCCCACGGCUCAACCGUGGAGGGUCAUUGGAAACUGGAAAACUUGAGUGCAGAAGAGGAAAGUGGAAUUCCAUGUGUAGCGGUGAAAUGCGCAGAGAUAUGGAGGAACACCAGUGGCGAAGGCGACUUUCUGGUCUGUAACUGACGCUGAUGUGCGAAAGCGUGGGGAUCAAACAGGAUUAGAUACCCUGGUAGUCCACGCCGUAAACGAUGAGUGCUAAGUGUUAGGGGGUUUCCGCCCCUUAGUGCUGCAGCUAACGCAUUAAGCACUCCGCCUGGGGAGUACGACCGCAAGGUUGAAACUCAAAGGAAUUGACGGGGACCCGCACAAGCGGUGGAGCAUGUGGUUUAAUUCGAAGCAACGCGAAGAACCUUACCAAAUCUUGACAUCCUUUGACAACUCUAGAGAUAGAGCUUUCCCCUUCGGGGGACAAAGUGACAGGUGGUGCAUGGUUGUCGUCAGCUCGUGUCGUGAGAUGUUGGGUUAAGUCCCGCAACGAGCGCAACCCUUAAGCUUAGUUGCCAUCAUUAAGUUGGGCACUCUAAGUUGACUGCCGGUGACAAACCGGAGGAAGGUGGGGAUGACGUCAAAUCAUCAUGCCCCUUAUGAUUUGGGCUACACACGUGCUACAAUGGACAAUACAAAGGGCAGCGAAACCGCGAGGUCAAGCAAAUCCCAUAAAGUUGUUCUCAGUUCGGAUUGUAGUCUGCAACUCGACUACAUGAAGCUGGAAUCGCUAGUAAUCGUAGAUCAGCAUGCUACGGUGAAUACGUUCCCGGGUCUUGUACACACCGCCCGUCACACCACGAGAGUUUGUAACACCCGAAGCCGGUGGAGUAACCUUUUAGGAGCUAGCCGUCGAAGGUGGGACAAAUGAUUGGGGUGAAGUCGUAACAAGGUAGCCGUAUCGGAAGGUGCGGCUGGAUCACCUCCUUUCUAAGGA
Molecule: ribosomal RNA, 1358 nt
Filed under: Staphylococcus aureus
Lineage: Bacteria; Bacillati; Bacillota; Bacilli; Caryophanales; Staphylococcaceae
Description: bacterial SSU rRNA
Rfam family: Bacterial small subunit ribosomal RNA
Source: RNAcentral